Long non-coding RNA from Quercus robur (English oak), 240 nucleotides. RefSeq lists it as uncharacterized. Lineage: Eukaryota; Viridiplantae; Streptophyta; Magnoliopsida; Fagales; Fagaceae. The transcript has 3 exons. The record is from RefSeq and is a predicted model, not a curated record.
UGGGACAUCUUCAAGCCAUAUAGAACCUACUAAUGGGGCAGCACCUCCAUCACAACCAAGCCAUGGAGCAUAUGCAAGCCAGCAUAGUCAAAAAAUACCUGUUAGGAAAAGAAAUGUCACAACACAAAGUCAGCCAACACCCCAAUGUGAAGGAGUCCAUCAAAGUCAACCAGUAUCUCAGGUUGGACCCAACGAAGUUACCAGAAGUUACAGUUUUGGAGUAUCAGUAGAGACAAUGGC